RNAcentral lists this ribosomal RNA (734 nucleotides) under uncultured bacterium. RNAcentral's name for it is "bacterial SSU rRNA". It matches the Rfam family "Bacterial small subunit ribosomal RNA", at positions 8 to 788 of the family's 1533-position model. The record is from RNAcentral.
AGGGUUUGAUCAUGGCUCAGAACGAACGCUGGCGGCAGGCCUAACACAUGCAAGUCGAGCGCGCCCUUCGGGGUGAGCGGCGGACGGGUUAGUAACGCGUGGGAACGUACCCAGAUCUACGGAAUAGCCUUUGGAAACGAAGAGUAAUACCGUAUACGCCCUUCGGGGGAAAGAUUUAUCGGAUUUGGAUCGGCCCGCGUUAGAUUAGAUAGUUGGUGGGGUAAUGGCCUACCAAGUCUACGAUCUAUAGCUGGUUUUAGAGGAUGAUCAGCAACACUGGGACUGAGACACGGCCCAGACUCCUACGGGAGGCAGCAGUGGGGAAUCUUAGACAAUGGGCGCAAGCCUGAUCUAGCCAUGCCGCGUGAGUGAUGAAGGCCUUAGGGUCGUAAAGCUCUUUCGCCAGGGAUGAUAAUGACAGUACCUGGUAAAGAAACCCCGGCUAACUCCGUGCCAGCAGCCGCGGUAAUACGGAGGGGGUUAGCGUUGUUCGGAAUUACUGGGCGUAAAGCGCGCGUAGGCGGACCAGAAAGUUGGGGGUGAAAUCCCGGGGCUCAACCCCGGAACUGCCUCCAAAACUCCUGAUCUAGAGUUCGAGAGAGGUGAGUGGAACUCCGAGUGUAGAGGUGAAAUUCGUAGAUAUUCGGAAGAACACCAGUGGCGAAGGCGGCUCACUGGCUCGAUACUGACGCUGAGGUGCGAAAGUGUGGGGAGCAAACAGGAUUAGAUACCCU